AUGCUGUUUGUACAAGUUGUUUGAUAUCUAUUGUUAUACUUAAAAGUGCUUAAUAUUGAUACAAAACCACGAACAUUACACUGUGCAGUUGGGCAUGAUACUUUUGACAUAAAAUUGAGAAGGCGAAAGAGAGAACGUGCUUAGUAAAACAGAUAAAAUUAUUAAAAUUAUAUUUUACGUUACCAGGUUAACAAUAUUAAAGUAUUUUUCAUCCUUUACCCGUACUUUUAUAUACGACCAUCUAGAAACAGGGCCGGAUUAACGUUCCGCGCGGGGGCCCGUGGCGUAAUAUUAGCGCGGAGCCCCUUGACCCCCCCCCCCCCCCCCCCCCC
This is a non-coding RNA of Paramuricea clavata, 332 nucleotides long. The record is from the annotation of a GenBank genome assembly. NCBI's taxonomy places the organism in Eukaryota, Metazoa, Cnidaria, Anthozoa, Malacalcyonacea, Plexauridae.